RNAcentral lists this long non-coding RNA (1830 nucleotides) under Taeniopygia guttata (zebra finch). RNAcentral describes it as "lncRNA (ENSTGUG00000021706.1)". The record is from RNAcentral. Lineage: Eukaryota; Metazoa; Chordata; Aves; Passeriformes; Estrildidae.
CAGGAUUUAUUUUUUUAGUCACUCAAAGGGCUUUGAAGGGUCCUGCACCGAUCCAGUGUUAUCUCAUGGUGUCUGUAUCUCUAUCUUAUCUUUUUACAACCCCUUAUCAUUACGGUCAUACCAAAUGCACUGAUAAAGCUGAAUUUAUAUGCACCAGGGUGAGGCAGAGGUGCAACCUCCACUCCUUCAUCUGGGAAGCAAAGCAGGACAGGUGAGACCCUUCAGGUUAUCUCAGAGGACACGAGACGCCCAGUUCAGGGCAUCUGAGUUCAGUCUUGGACAUCCCAAAGGCCAGUCUGGGAGAUUUCAUUGCCCUGAUCCCACUUGGAGAAGCCUUCCUGGAAUCACAGAUUGUCCCAAGUUGUAAGGGACCCAUCAGGAUCACCAAGUCCAGCUCCUGGCCCUGCACAGACCAUCCCCAAGAGCCACAUCCUGUGCCCAAGGGUGUUGUCCAAACUCUGCUUGAUGGUCUUUCAGGUCAAGAACAUUUCAACCCAAGGAAAAUGCUGGGAAUAGCUGCCAGCCCCAGGCUCCCUCUGCUUUCUUCCCAAGUUCCUUCCUCCCAGCUCUGACUUCCCCAUGGCGCUCACCACAGGCAGGGGAUGGGGACUGAAUUUGCUUCCCUGUGCAGUGAAGGGCUGUUCCCACCCCACAGGAGGAGUCACAUCAGUGCCACCCAGAACGAGGGAUUCAACAGAAACAACCCCUGUCCCCUUGGAGCCCAACCUGACAACCACAGCAAUGGCCCGAAUGUCCUUUUUGCCACCAGGUGGAGCUGGGAGAGAAUUCCUUGGAAGGGGCCAGCUGACAGCACCCCAGGAUGAAGAGAUGAUUUACACUGCUCUGACUCGAGCCAGGCUGUCAAAACCUCUCUCCAUGAAUCCACGUGUUGCAAAAAGUGGGGGAUCUUCUGCCUUUCCAGCCUUUGAAGAAAAUGGGAAUGACUGGUGAAGGAAACCAUUGAAAGAAAAGCAGAACUUCAUCCCUCUCACAAAGUCAUCCUCCCUCUUGCCGCCGUGGUGCCAGAUAAAAUUUGGAUUUGUGCUACUUCCUGAUGAAAAUCCAUUUCCCCCCAUGCUCCUGUUGACAACCUGCCAGGAAAGGUUAUUAGAUACCAUCCCUAAAGCCUGUGCACACUGACCUGUUCCGAGGGAAUCAAAUAGAAGCCUACUCCCGCCCCAGCCUGGGCCCACCCAGGGAGAAGCAGGCUGAUGGCUUGACAAAACUCGGAUUAUUCUGUCCAGAAAGCUGCACUUUUAAUGGAUUAAACAUCUCUGUCUUUUGUGGUUGCCUGCUUAAGAAAGAAAAUAAUUACAAGAAGAAAAUGUUGAACUGGUGUAUGUUUUCAUCUUUUGAUUCAGAGUCAUUUUUCUUUCCUCCCUGCCUUCCUCCUCUCCUGCUUUUCUCCGUACAGAGGAGUAAAUUUUGCCUCUGUGAUAUUUCUUUGGCUGAACAUGAUUCAGCACCGCUGGUGCUCUAAAUCAAGGUAAUCAAAAUAAUCCUGUUCUUUUAAUCCAGCCACUGGACCCAACCCUGUGUACUACAUAUAUAUUUUUUUCCGAAGGUUUGGCUCUGACAUCACUGAAAUAUUGCAGCAAAAUAUCAGGAAUAAACCAGCAUUGUUCAUUCCUGCUUUCAUCCCUGGCCAAACACCCGCAGCUCUCCACAGGCCUCAAAAAAGACCUGGCUGCCUAGAAAUGCCCAAGCAGGAUUUGUUCUCCAGUGCUGGGCUGCUCAGGAAGAGGAUUCGUUAAGGGGAAAAACUGGAAUUAAAGAUUCCAGGAGAAUUGUCCUGUCUUAGGUUGGAAAUGCAGGAUGUGUUUGGGGGUG